Molecule: microRNA precursor, 103 nt
Filed under: Marmota monax (woodchuck)
Lineage: Eukaryota; Metazoa; Chordata; Mammalia; Rodentia; Sciuridae
Source: RNAcentral
GGUGGGAUAGCUGGGUCAAAUGGUGAUUCCAUUCCAAGUUUUUUGAGGAAUCUCCAUACUGCUUUCCAUAGCAAUUGCACCAAUUUGCAUUCCUACCAGCAAU